This 542-nucleotide ribosomal RNA is filed under the name uncultured bacterium. Its description in RNAcentral is "bacterial SSU rRNA". It matches the Rfam family "Bacterial small subunit ribosomal RNA", at positions 777 to 1319 of the family's 1533-position model. The record is from RNAcentral.
AAUAGAUACCCCGGUAGUCCAUGCCGUAAACGUUGGGCACUAGGUGUGGGACCCCCUCAACGGGUUCCGUGCCGUAGCUAACGCAUUAAGUGCCCCGCCUGGGGAGUACGGCCGCAAGGCUAAAACUCAAAGGAAUUGACGGGGGCCCGCACAAGCAGCGGAGCAUGUUGCUUAAUUCGAGGCAAUGCGAAGAACCUUACCUGGGUUUGACAUGUACGGAAAAGCCACAGAGAUGUGGUGUCCUUUUGGGCCGUACACAGGUGGUGCAUGGUUGUCGUCAGCUCGUGUCGUGAGAUGUUGGGUUAAGUCCCGCAACGAGCGCAACCCUUGUCCUAUGUUGCCAGCGGGUAAUGCCGGGGACUCGUAGGAGACUGCCGGGGACAACUCGGAGGAAGGUGGGGAUGACGUCAAAUCAUCAUGCCCCUUAUGUCCAGGGCUGCAAACAUGCUACAAUGGCCAGUACAAAGGGCUGCUAUACCGCGAGGUUGAGCGAAUCCCACAAAGCUGGUCUCAGUUCGGAUUGGAGUCUGCAACUCGACUCC